Rattus norvegicus (Norway rat) is the source of this 128-nucleotide small nucleolar RNA. NCBI's taxonomy places the organism in Eukaryota, Metazoa, Chordata, Mammalia, Rodentia, Muridae. The record is from Ensembl.
CCCCUUUUAAAAGCACUCAGUGGGCCUUUUGCUAAUAACCCACUGAGACUUUAAGAAAGGGGCACUUUUGGGUGAAGUGGCAACAUGAUGUGUUGUUUUAAUAGUUUCUUUUCUUUUUUAAAACAAGG